AACAAACGCUGGCGGCGUGUCUUAAGCAUGCAAGUUGAGCGGCAAGGAGGAGAGAUCCUCCCUAGAGCGGCGGACUGGUGAGUAACGCGUGGGUAAUCUAUCGUAGGCAUGGGGAUAGUCACUAGAAAUAGUGGGUAAUACCGAAUACGUUCCAUGAGGGGAGUAUUCAUGGAAGAAAGGGUGCUACGGCACUGGCCUUAGGUGAGCUCGCGUCCCAUUAGCUAGUUGGUGAGGUAAAGGCCCACCAAGGCGAUGAUGGGUAGCCGGCCUGAGAGGGUGUACGGCCACACUGGGACUGAGACACGGCCCAGACUCCUACGGGAGGCAGCAGUGGGGAAUAUUGCGCAAUGGGGGGAACCCUGACGCAGCGACGCCGCGUGAGCGACGAAGGCCUUCGGGUCGUAAAGCUCUGUUCUUGGGACGAAGGAAAUGACGGUACCCAAGGAGAAAGACCCCGGCUAACUACGUG
RNAcentral lists this ribosomal RNA (469 nucleotides) under uncultured bacterium. RNAcentral describes it as "bacterial SSU rRNA". It matches the Rfam family "Bacterial small subunit ribosomal RNA", at positions 29 to 507 of the family's 1533-position model. The record is from RNAcentral.